RNAcentral lists this ribosomal RNA (431 nucleotides) under uncultured bacterium. RNAcentral's name for it is "partial 16S ribosomal RNA". It matches the Rfam family "Bacterial small subunit ribosomal RNA", at positions 30 to 507 of the family's 1533-position model. The record is from RNAcentral.
CGAACGCUGGCGGCAUGCCUACCACAUGCACGUCGACCGAGACCUUCGGGUCUAGUGGCGCACGGGUGCGUAACGCGUGGGAAUCUACCCUCAGGUUCGGAAUAACUCAGAGAAAUUUGAGCUAAUACCGGAUGAUGACGUAAGUCCAAAGAUUUAUCGCCUGAGGAUGAGCCCGCGUAGGAUUAGGUAGUUGGUGAGGUAAAGGCUCACCAAGCCGACGAUCCUUAGCUGGUCUGAGAGGAUGAUCAGCCACACUGGGACUGAGACACGGCCCAGACUCCUACGGGAGGCAGCAGUGGGGAAUAUUGGACAAUGGGCGAAAGCCUGAUCCAGCAAUGCCGCGUGAGUGAUGAAGGCCUUAGGGUUGUAAAGCUCUUUUACCCGGGAUGAUAAUGACAGUACCGGGAGAAUAAGCUCCGGCUAACUCCGUG